Drosophila nasuta is the source of this 1702-nucleotide long non-coding RNA. RefSeq lists it as uncharacterized. The transcript is spliced from 4 exons. Lineage: Eukaryota; Metazoa; Arthropoda; Insecta; Diptera; Drosophilidae. The record is from RefSeq and is a predicted model, not a curated record.
GUUCUCAGAGUUUGAGUAUUGACUACAUCAAGAAGGAAUAUAUAUUCAACAAAAAAAAGAAAUACAUAAUUACAAAGAAAACGAAAAAAGAAAAGUUGAAAAUAAUUAGAUUAAAAAGUGUGGUAAACAAAUUAUGGGGAAAAAGCAGUGUGUGCAAAAUACAAUAUACACAUAAAUGAGCGAGAUAGAGAGCGAGAGCGAAAGAGAGAGGGUGCGAGCCUGCGAAUGAAUGAGAAAGAGCGAACGAGCGAGCGAAAGAGAGACAGAAAGAUCUAUCUACUUUAUUCAAGUGUAAUUUAAAUGAAAAGCACUGAAGAGGAGUUCGACGACCUGUCAACUCUGUCUCUAUUGCCAACUCACUCGAUGUCAUGCAGUGAAUGCAUCCAGCAUACAUGAUGAUUAACGAAUAUGAACAGCAGCAACAACAACAACAACAACACAACUACAGGGCAGAUGCACUCAGAAUACAAUGGCUUCAUGAAACUUGCUUAAUGUGCCUUUACAAUGUGCUUCAUUUCAGUAUGCGAGCAAAUUAAUAUGAAGUUGACAUUUUGAUUACUUUCGUUUUUAUAUUCAUCAACUAUUUGACAACUAAAAUAAAUCAAUCAAUAAUCGCAAAUAAUUUAGCUCUGUUCAAAUUGCUUCAAAAAAGGCGGAAACUUUCAUGGCUGAUUUUAUUGAGCACUGACUAUGUUUGCCUAUGAAAGGUAAUUCAUUAAUUGCUCGUCAUAGCAACCUACACAACAUAAACUGGCAAGAAAAUUUAAUUAAAAACUGCUUCGUGGCUUAAUUUAAUGGAAAUUAUAGCAAAUCAUCGUCAAGUGUCGUCAACUUAAUAAUAUUGACAAAUUAAGCAAGAAAAGCAAUUCAAAUUCAAAUUCAAUUGUUGUGGUCAUCAAUUUGUAGCAUUCUAAUCGAAACUUUUGAUUUGUCUACUAUUUAAAGAAAUCGAUAUGUAAAUGUCUGAAAUGUCAGGUCAAAAUUUUUGCUUGCCAGAAGAGAAGCGGAACGAGGAAGGAUUUGGCUGCAACAAUCAAAUUACAGUAAGGCAAUUUACACACAAUGACAACAUGGACACAGAGCAAUUGAGCAGCAAGUUUUGUGGGCGGAAGCGGAGGCGAGGCGAAGGCAGAGGAACUACUAUUAAUUAGACGAGAGAGAGAGAGAGAGAGGGAGAGACAAACAGAAAGUACUUACAGCCUGAGCACAAAAAAUACGAAAUUUGAAAUUGGAAAAUGUGGCAAAAAUGUAAGCAGAGGAGAGAGAGAAAGGAGAGGAGAUGUGUGUUGAUGCAUUUGUUGGACAAUCAACAAAAAAAAUUAUUCACAACAGUCUGCGAGUAAAUAUACAGCACGAAUCCAAUGAAACAAACGAGCCGAUUAACAAUUAGGCAAAAAGCUUUAACCCAAACAACAAACUUAACACAACUUUUUUACCGCGUGCAUGCAAAUUGAAAUUCGAAUUCAAUCCAAAAAUAAUUCAAAUUCAAAAUACUGUGAAACUCAAAAUCAAAUCAAAUCAACUUUAAAACCAAACUAAGCAAAUCAAAACGAAACAACAAAGUGGGCCUUAGUAAUACACCUACGAAUAGUAGAUAAAAAAGGAAGCGUGUUUAUUUUUGUCAAAGCAUCGCAAUAAGUAAACUCAAACUCAAUUGAAAUUAAAUUAUAUGUGUGUAUUUGUAUAUAUAGUCAGCUAUACA